GUCGAGAAUCUUCCGCAAUGGGGGAAACCCUGACGGAGCGAUGCCGCGUGGAGGACGAAGGCCUUCGGGUCGUAAACUCCUGUAACCCGGGACGAAGUUCUGACGGUACCGGGGAAGUAAGCCACGGCUAACUACGUGCCAGCAGCCGCGGUAAUACGUAGGUGGCGAGCGUUAUUCGGAAUUACUGGGCGUAAAGGGUUCGUAGGGGGUCUGCCAAGUCCGGUGUGAAAGCCCGGGGCUCAACCCCGGAAGGGCACUGGAAACUGGCGGGCUUUGAGGGCAGGAGAGGGAAGCGGAAUUCCUGGUGUAGCGGUGGAAUGCGUAGAUAUCAGGAAGAACACCGAAGGCGAAGGCAGCUUCCUGGCCUGUACCUGACCCUGAGGAACGAAAGCUGGGGGAGCAAACAGGAUUAGAUACCCGAGUAGUCC
RNAcentral lists this ribosomal RNA (428 nucleotides) under uncultured bacterium. Its description in RNAcentral is "bacterial SSU rRNA". It matches the Rfam family "Bacterial small subunit ribosomal RNA", at positions 354 to 796 of the family's 1533-position model. The record is from RNAcentral.